CGGACUGAGAUUUCAGCUGAGAACCAGACUAGACUUCGGAUCAAGCUAGUUGCCUGCAGAACUUACCUGGACUGUGAUUUACCUGGACUGUGAGUUAAUCUAUUGAGACACUACUUUACCUGGACUGAGACAACAAACUGUAAUCUACAACAAAUUGUAACUCGGUAUCUUUGCUAACAGUGUCAUUGCUGGUAUAAUUUUUCCAAGGGCUUCUUGCAUGGAGCCAUCAAUUGGCUUGGUAUUGUGACAUUUUGUAUCCUCCCUUUCUGUUUGUAGCAGGUUAUUUAUGGUGUUUCUGUAAAAACCACUAUGGUUGUUAUUUAAAUUAAACAAAAGGGGGAAAUAUUAGAGUCUGUAAACAAGUCAAAAAUAACACCUGGCAUUUUGCCAGGGGAAUGUUAGAGUUCGUAAACAAGUCUGGAUGGUGCCUGGCAAAAUGCCAGAGGGAGUGGUUUGAGAAGUAACAAAAGCGAGCCAUUAAGUGUGGAGAUUCCUUAUUGGUUGACUGAUGUAUCUAGUUUAUGCUAAUUAGAUAAGCUGUGUGGAAUGUAUAAAUACUGCUCCUGUCC
RNAcentral lists this long non-coding RNA (569 nucleotides) under Marmota monax (woodchuck). Lineage: Eukaryota; Metazoa; Chordata; Mammalia; Rodentia; Sciuridae. The record is from RNAcentral.